AGGCGUGAUGACGAGGCACUACGGUGCUGAAGCAACAAAUGCCCUGCUUCCAGGAAAAGCCUCUAAGCAUCAGGUAACAUCAAAUCGUACCCCAAACCGACACAGGUGGUCAGGUAGAGAAUACCAAGGCGCUUGAGAGAACUCGGGUGAAGGAACUAGGCAAAAUGGUGCCGUAACUUCGGGAGAAGGCACGCUGACACGUAGGUGAAGUGAUUUACUCAUGGAGCUGAAGUCAGUCGAAGAUACCAGCUGGCUGCAACUGUUUAUUAAAAACACAGCACUGUGCAAACACGAAAGUGGACGUAUACGGUGUGACGCCUGCCCGGUGCCGGAAGGUUAAUUGAUGGGGUCAGCGCAAGCGAAGCUCCUGAUCGAAGCCCCGGUAAACGGCGGCCGUAACUAUAACGGUCCUAAGGUAGCGAAAUUCCUUGUCGGGUAAGUUCCGACCUGCACGAAUGGCGUAAUGAUGGCCAGGCUGUCUCCACCCGAGACUCAGUGAAAUUGAACUCGCUGUGAAGAUGCAGUGUACCCGCGGCAAGACGGAAAGACCCCGUGAACCUUUACUAUAGCUUGACACUGAACAUUGAGCCUUGAUGUGUAGGAUAGGUGGGAGGCUUUGAAGUGUGGACGCCAGUCUGCAUGGAGCCGACCUUGAAAUACCACCCUUUAAUGUUUGAUGUUCUAACGUGGACCCGUUACCCGGGUUGCGGACAGUGUCUGGUGGGUAGUUUGACUGGGGCGGUCUCCUCCUAAAGAGUAACGGAGGAGCACGAAGGUUGGCUAAUCCUGGUCGGACAUCAGGAGGUUAGUGCAAUGGCAUAAGCCAGCUUGACUGCGAGCGUGACGGCGCGAGCAGGUGCGAAAGCAGGUCAUAGUGAUCCGGUGGUUCUGAAUGGAAGGGCCAUCGCUCAACGGAUAAAAGGUACUCCGGGGAUAACAGGCUGAUACCGCCCAAGAGUUCAUAUCGACGGCGGUGUUUGGCACCUCGAUGUCGGCUCAUCACAUCCUGGGGCUGAAGUAGGUCCCAAGGGUAUGGCUGUUCGCCAUUUAAAGUGGUACGCGAGCUGGGUUUAGAACGUCGUGAGACAGUUCGGUCCCUAUCUGCCGUGGGCGCUGGAGAACUGAGGGGGGCUGCUCCUAGUACGAGAGGACCGGAGUGGACGCAUCACUGGUGUUCGGGUUGUCAUGCCAAUGGCACUGCCCGGUAGCUAAAUGCGGAAGAGAUAAGUGCUGAAAGCAUCUAAGCACGAAACUUGCCCCGAGAUGAGUUCUCCCUGAGACUUAGAGUCUCCUGAAGGAACGUUGAAGACGACGACGUUGAUAGGCCGGGUGUGUAAGCGCAGCGAUGCGUUGAGCUAACCGGUACUAAUGAACCGUGAGGCUUAACCUUACAACGCCG
Molecule: ribosomal RNA, 1399 nt
Filed under: Salmonella enterica subsp. enterica
Lineage: Bacteria; Pseudomonadati; Pseudomonadota; Gammaproteobacteria; Enterobacterales; Enterobacteriaceae
Description: partial 23S ribosomal RNA
Rfam family: Bacterial large subunit ribosomal RNA
Source: RNAcentral